RNAcentral lists this ribosomal RNA (688 nucleotides) under Shigella flexneri. RNAcentral describes it as "bacterial SSU rRNA". It matches the Rfam family "Bacterial small subunit ribosomal RNA", at positions 1 to 678 of the family's 1533-position model. Lineage: Bacteria; Pseudomonadati; Pseudomonadota; Gammaproteobacteria; Enterobacterales; Enterobacteriaceae. The record is from RNAcentral.
AAAUUGAAGAGUUUGAUCAUGGCUCAGAUUGAACGCUGGCGGCAGGCCUAACACAUGCAAGUCGAACGGUAACAGGAAACAGCUUGCUGUUUCGCUGACGAGUGGCGGACGGGUGAGUAAUGUCUGGGAAACUGCCCGAUGGAGGGGGAUAACUACUGGAAACGGUAGCUAAUACCGCAUAACGUCGCAAGACCAAAGAGGGGGACCUUCGGGCCUCUUGCUAUCGGAUGUGCCCAGAUGGGAUUAGCUAGUAGGUGGGGUAACGGCUCACCUAGGCGACGAUCCCUAGCUGGUCUGAGAGGAUGACCAGCCACACUGGAACUGAGACACGGUCCAGACUCCUACGGGAGGCAGCAGUGGGGAAUAUUGCACAAUGGGCGCAAGCCUGAUGCAGCCAUGCCGCGUGUAUGAAGAAGGCCUUCGGGUUGUAAAGUACUUUCAGCGGGGAGGAAGGGAGUAAAGUUAAUACCUUUACUCAUUGACGUUACCCGCAGAAGAAGCACCGGCUAACUCCGUGCCAGCAGCCGCGGUAAUACGGAGGGUGCAAGCGUUAAUCGGAAUUACUGGGCGUAAAGCGCACGCAGGCGGUUUGUUAAGUCAGAUGUGAAAUCCCCGGGCUCAACCUGGGAACUGCAUCUGAUACUGGCAAGCUUGAGUCUCGUAGAGGGGGGUAGAAUUCCAGGUGUAG